UGACUGUGCAAAGGUAGCAUAAUCAGUUGACUCUUAAUUGGGGCCGGGAAUGAACGAAUGUACGGAGAAGAGCUGUCUUUUUAGUGUGUGCGAAUUUGGUUAACAAGUGCAAAUACUUGUAUGUUUUAAUAAGACGAGAAGACCCUUGAAGCUUUAGAAAAUUCUUUUGUUGGGGCGACAGAAUUACACUUAACUAAUUUGCUAAGACCUGAAGGCUACAUGCGCGUUUAAGCUACUCGAGGGAUAACAGCAUAAUUU
This 258-nucleotide ribosomal RNA is filed under the name Thiessea sphaeriostoma. Its description in RNAcentral is "partial 16S ribosomal RNA". It matches the Rfam family "Bacterial large subunit ribosomal RNA", at positions 1943 to 2488 of the family's 2925-position model. The record is from RNAcentral. Lineage: Eukaryota; Metazoa; Mollusca; Gastropoda; Stylommatophora; Helicidae.